GAUGAACGCUAGCGGGAGGCCUAACACAUGCAAGCCGAGCGGUAUUGUUUCUUCGGAAAUGAGAGAGCGGCGUACGGGUGCGUAACACGUGUGCAACCUGCCUUUAUCUGGGGGAUAGCCUUUCGAAAGGAAGAUUAAUACUCCAUAAUAUAUUGAACGGCAUCGUUUAAUAUUGAAAGCUCCGGCGGAUAGAGAUGGGCACGCGCAAGAUUAGCUAGUUGGUGAGGUAACGGCUCACCAAGGCGAUGAUCUUUAGGGGGCCUGAGAGGGUGAUCCCCCACACUGGUACUGAGACACGGACCAGACUCCUACGGGAGGCAGCAGUGAGGAAGAUUGGUCAAUGGGUGCAAGCCUGAACCAGCCAUCCCGCGUGAAGGACGACUGCCCUAUGGGUUGUAAACUUCUUUUGUAUAGGGAUAAACCUACCCUCGGGAGGGUAGCUGAAGGUACUAUACGAAUAAGCACCGGCUAACUCCGUG
RNAcentral lists this ribosomal RNA (479 nucleotides) under uncultured bacterium. RNAcentral's name for it is "partial 16S ribosomal RNA". It matches the Rfam family "Bacterial small subunit ribosomal RNA", at positions 28 to 507 of the family's 1533-position model. The record is from RNAcentral.